GACGAACGCUGGCGGCGUGCUUAACACAUGCAAGUCGAACGGAAAGGCCCUGCUUUUGUGGGGUGCUCGAGUGGCGAACGGGUGAGUAACACGUGAGUAACCUGCCCUUGACUUUGGGAUAACUUCAGGAAACUGGGGCUAAUACCGGAUAGGAGCUCCUGCUGCAUGGUGGGGGUUGGAAAGUUUCGGCGGUUGGGGAUGGACUCGCGGCUUAUCAGCUUGUUGGUGGGGUAGUGGCUUACCAAGGCUUUGACGGGUAGCCGGCCUGAGAGGGUGACCGGCCACAUUGGGACUGAGAGACGGCCCAGACUCCUACGGAAGGCAGCAGUGGGGAAUAUUGCACGAUGGGCGGAAGCCUGAUGCAGCAACGCCGCGUGCGGGAUGACGGCCUUCGGGUUGUAAGCCGCUUUCGCCUGUGACGAAGCGUGAGUGACGGUAAUGGGUAAAGAAGCACCGGCUAACUACGUG
This 468-nucleotide ribosomal RNA is filed under the name uncultured bacterium. RNAcentral describes it as "partial 16S ribosomal RNA". It matches the Rfam family "Bacterial small subunit ribosomal RNA", at positions 28 to 507 of the family's 1533-position model. The record is from RNAcentral.